Drosophila yakuba is the source of this 404-nucleotide long non-coding RNA. RefSeq lists it as uncharacterized. The record is from RefSeq and is a predicted model, not a curated record. The transcript is spliced from 2 exons. Lineage: Eukaryota; Metazoa; Arthropoda; Insecta; Diptera; Drosophilidae.
UCAUCUGUGGGGUCGCACACACACACACGCACGCAGAGCAAAAAAGAAAGAAUGAAAGGAGGCAAAUGAAAAAGGACUCAAGGAUUCUCGUCUUGAGGGCAGCAACAACAAAUGGCCGAAAGAGAAAACCUUAAGGUCAAGUCACUUUGAAUGAGAAUCAGGAGGCUGCCAGUGACGGACGAGAAAACCUUAUUGACCAGCGAGGUGUUCAGCUCCAGGAGGCCCAGUGGCAUAAGUUUAUAGUCGAUGGUGGCGACCUGUAGCCAGAAGGCAUUCACCACUUGCUUGAAACGGGCAUCGGCGUGCUGCAGUUCGAAUCUCUGCAAGAGUUCUCCAGUUCUCCUGGUCUGCAAUUAUAAGAGCUUAGUAUUUUAUCAGAGAUUAAACAAAAUGAUGACAAUCAC